ACUGAACAAUGAUAAGUGAAUGGAAUACAAUGCAACUAUUUUUAGUAUGAAUAGCUCUCGACAUAGGACUGCUGCUCGCUGCUUCCUGUCUGCCUCACCAUGGACUGUUCUCAGCCAUGCCCCUCUGCCGUGCCCCUCUGCCUUGGAGCCAGUGGACUAUGGACUGUGGACUGAAACCUCCACAAACUGUGAGUUAAAAGAAACCUUACCUCCUUU
RNAcentral lists this long non-coding RNA (216 nucleotides) under Fukomys damarensis (Damara mole-rat). RNAcentral describes it as "lncRNA (ENSFDAG00000030533.1)". The record is from RNAcentral. Lineage: Eukaryota; Metazoa; Chordata; Mammalia; Rodentia; Bathyergidae.